Molecule: ribosomal RNA, 373 nt
Filed under: uncultured organism
Description: partial 16S ribosomal RNA
Rfam family: Bacterial small subunit ribosomal RNA
Source: RNAcentral
GUAGGAGGCGAGCGUUAUCCGGAUUUACUGGGCGUAAAGAGGGCGUAGGCGGUUCUUCAAGUCGGAUGUAAAAUCUCCCGGCUUAACUGGGAGGGACCAUUCGAUACUGUCGGGCUAGAGGGCAGCAGAGGGAGGUAGAAUUCCCGGUGUAGUGGUGAUAUGCGUAGAUAUCGGGAGGAAUACCAGUGGCGAAGGCGGCCUCCUGGGCUGUUUCUGACGUUGAGGCCCAAAAGCGUGGGGAGCAAACAGGAUUAGAUACCCUGGGUAGUCCACGCUGUAAACUAUGGACACUAGGUAUAGGGAGUAUCGACCCCUCUCUGUGCCGAAGCUAACGCAUUAAGUGUCCCGCCUGGGGACUACGGCCGCAAGGCUA